UAAAAUAAGUGACUAGUGUCAAACUCUCAUGCACAAAACUUAGAAUAGAGCAAUUUCAAUGGGAUACAAGAAAUAUGCAAAUCAAGAAUAAAGUCAAUAAUUUUGACUAUGAAAAGUUUAUUUGAUUUUCUAUCGUGGAAUCUCUUUUCUUGUUUUGUACUUCCGUGUCCUCGACUUUUGUUAUCUCUCUUAAGCUGAUUUCUCAUUUCCUCCUCUAUAUUUCUGUAAUUUAGAGUGAGUGUUCUUUUUAUUUCAGGUUACUCCUGAGUUUUUUCUUGAUUUUUUUUUUGCGAUUUGCAAGAAUUCCGCCAUCUUUUCUUUCUCUGUCAACUUGGUGUUUCUGGUUCCUAUAUCUGUCUCUAGUGGUUGAUCAUUCCCUUAUGAGCACCCAGUUUUGCAAAGUCUGUGUUUUUAGAUCGUUAUCAGGUGUUU
This 432-nucleotide long non-coding RNA is filed under the name Lathyrus oleraceus (garden pea). RNAcentral describes it as "Pisum sativum (pea) long non-coding RNA (PSAT_LNC007036)". Lineage: Eukaryota; Viridiplantae; Streptophyta; Magnoliopsida; Fabales; Fabaceae. The record is from RNAcentral.